UGGGGGAUAUUGCACAAUGGGGGAAACCCUGAUGUAGCAAUGCCGCGUGAGGGAAGAAGGUCUUCGGAUUGUAAACCUAAGUAGCCAGGGACGAUAAUGACGGUACCUGGAGAGUAAGCUCCGGCUAACUACGUGCCAGCAGCCGCGGUAAUACGUAGGGAGCGAGCGUUGUCCGGAAUUACUGGGCGUAAAGCGCACGCAGGCGGCGUGACGCGUCAGAAGUGAAAUCCCCGGGCUCAACCUGGGAACUGCUUUUGAAACGGUCAUGCUUGAAUCAUGGAGAGGGUAGCGGAAUUCCGAGUGUAGAGGUGAAAUUCGUAGAUAUUCGGAAGAACACCGGUGGCGAAGGCGGCUACCUGGCCAUGUAUUGACGCUCAGGUGCGAAAGCGUGGGGAGCAAACA
This 402-nucleotide ribosomal RNA is filed under the name uncultured bacterium. RNAcentral describes it as "bacterial SSU rRNA". It matches the Rfam family "Bacterial small subunit ribosomal RNA", at positions 355 to 774 of the family's 1533-position model. The record is from RNAcentral.